CGAAUCCGAAUCCGAAUCCUAAUUCUAAUUCAAUAUGUGUGUAACAUUUACACAUAAAUCCUCAUAUUAUUUACUAACGAACUUUUACACAUAAAUACCUCUAAUUUACAACAAUUGCAAAUUAGUCCUUUUACUAAUAAAUUAGUAUUUAAUUAUAAUUGUAAUUAAUCCAUCCUAUAAACUUUUUUUAUCGUUUCCUAAAUAUCGAUCAUGCGCGAUUUCUUAUGUGUGCGGUUCAAUUCUGUCUGGUAGUGAGUUAUGAUGCGAUCCCUAUCUACAUCAUCAUCGAAACUCCUUUCGAUGGCUCAAACUCUUUU
Molecule: long non-coding RNA, 317 nt
Filed under: Ananas comosus (pineapple)
Lineage: Eukaryota; Viridiplantae; Streptophyta; Magnoliopsida; Poales; Bromeliaceae
Description: long non-coding RNA (ACOM_LNC041871)
Source: RNAcentral